GGAUCAGUGGUACACACUUUUAAUCCAGCACUCAGGAAGCAGAGGCAGGGGGAGCUCUGUGAAUGCCAGGCUAACCACGGCUACAUAGUGAGACUCCAUCUCAAAAUAAAUCAAUAAGAGCCAAGUGUGGUGCCACUGAAAUCGGCUCUCAGAAGGUGGAGGCAGUGACAUCAGGAGUUUGGGGCUGGAGAGACAGCUCAGCAGCUAAGAACACUGUCUGCUCUUCCAGAGGUCCCGGCUUCAGUUCCCAGCACCCACAUUGCCGCUCACGACAGUAGCCACCGAAGGAGUAACAUGCCACACUGGAAUGUAAAAUUUUGCAGAUGCUGUAGAAAAUAUUAUGAUGGCUCCUCCAGAAGAUAAACAUAAAAUCAUUUUCUGAUCCAACAAUCCAACUUCUGAAUAUAUGUCUAAAAAGAGAGAGAGAGAGAGAGAUUGACAGAGCUACAAAAAAAGGAUUGUCAGACUAGACCGGCUCCCUGGAAGAAGCAGAAGCCAGGCAAGCUGCCCAGAAGAGGCUCAGACCCCCUGAGUCAGUGGGAAAGGACGCUUUCCAGCCUGGUGAGCUGCCUGUGCAGUGUGAGCUGCCAGUUGUGCCGGUGUAGGCUUUGGUGAUGUGGUUGUCUUUGAAUCAUCUCUGCUCCUGUAAGUCACCCCUCGUCCCUAUUCCUAUCAGUAGCCCCAAUAAAACUCAUUGAUUCACCAA
Myodes glareolus (Bank vole) is the source of this 706-nucleotide non-coding RNA. The record is from RefSeq and is a predicted model, not a curated record. Lineage: Eukaryota; Metazoa; Chordata; Mammalia; Rodentia; Cricetidae.